GCGUUGUCCGGAAUUAUUGGGCGUAAAGAGCGUGUAGGCGGUUCGGUAAGUCCGCUGUGAAAGUCCAGGGCUCAACCCUGGAAAGCCGGUGGAUACUGCCGGGCUAGAGUCCGGAAGAGGCGAGUGGAAUUCCUGGUGUAGCGGUGAAAUGCGCAGAUAUCAGGAGGAACACCGAUGGCGAAGGCAGCUCGCUGGGACGGUACUGACGCUGAGACGCGAAAGCGUG
Molecule: ribosomal RNA, 226 nt
Filed under: uncultured bacterium
Lineage: Bacteria
Description: partial 16S ribosomal RNA
Rfam family: Bacterial small subunit ribosomal RNA
Source: RNAcentral